This is an RNA transcript of Phyllopteryx taeniolatus (common seadragon), 2009 nucleotides long. It is a transcript of the gene named cathepsin O, with no coding region annotated. The record is from RefSeq and is a predicted model, not a curated record. The transcript is spliced from 11 exons. Lineage: Eukaryota; Metazoa; Chordata; Actinopteri; Syngnathiformes; Syngnathidae.
ACCUUUUCGUGACGUUUCCACUUCCGCUUGUCAGAAAUUUCUCGUUGUCGUCGCGCGAACUUUUCAGGACCCAAAAUGAAGGGCGGUUACCGGUGCACUGUUGCCAUGGCGACAGUUUUCGCCGUCGUCGCCCUGCUGUGUUGCCAAAUAAACGCGAGUCGGGACGAGGAAUUGAAGAAUUUGAACGAGCUGGUGGAUGAUUUUACGCCAUGUGGGGCUCGUUGCCACCUCAUGUACGAAGGCAAAGGUGACUUUGAGCGCUUCAAUGGUUGUUUCCGGAAUGCUACGGAACGUCACGCGUACCUCAACUCCUUUUCCUCUCAGCCUCAGUCUGCCAAGUACGGAAUCAACCAAUUCUCUUCCCUCUCACCCAACGAAUUCCGAGAUUUGUACCUGCGAGCAACCUCUGAGCGCACUCCGCCGUUCCUCAGGGCCAAGGCUAAGGAGCUGCCGGCCAAAUUUGACUGGAGGGACCGAGCAGUGGUGGGGCCUGUCCAGAACCAGCAAGCAUGCGGCAGCUGCUGGGCGUUUAGCGUGGUGGGCGCCGUGCAGGCGGCCAACGCCAUCGCGGGCUCGCGGCUGGAGGAACUCAGCGUGCAGCAAGUGGUGGACUGCUGCUUUCAAAAUGGAGGCUGCAACGGAGGUUCUCCGACCAAAGCCCUCCUCUGGUUGCGGACGACCCAAGUGAAACUGGUGCCACAGUCGGACUACCCCUACACGGCCAAGAACGGAAUGUGUCACUUCUUUCUCCGGCCUCAAGGGGGCGUUGGCGUGGGGAACUUCACUGUGCACAACUUCAGCGGUCAGGAGGAGGCCAUGAAGGCUGAGCUGGCGGAGCGAGGUCCUCUGUCCGUCGUGGUGGACGCGGUCAGCUGGCAGGACUACUUGGGAGGAAUAAUCCAGCACCACUGCUCCAGUCGCUGGCCCAACCACGCCGUGCUGCUGGUGGGAUACGAUGCCACAGGGGAAAUUCCUUUCUGGAUAGUGCAGAACUCCUGGGGCAAAGACUGGGGCAGCGAGGGUUACGUGUACGUCAAAAUCGGCGGCAAUCUCUGCGGGUUCGGUCGUAAUCGAUGGAGAGGAUGUUACGUCCGUUCACCUGUCGGGAAGUAACCAGAGUCGAGUUUGGAGUGUUGGACCUGGACAUACACUACACUGGAUGCAGAGGUGGGAGUAAGUCACCUAUGUGCAAGCCAAAGGUGAAACCCAAAUGAAAACGGCGAGCUGGAUCUGGUGGGUCACUGCUCCACUUGGCCCCGAUGCAAGCGGACUGCAACAGCGAACCUCUCCGACCAGAGCUGUUCCAGAGUUUGCUGCUUUCUUCUUGGCACCCGUUUUUAAAGGUCAGCUCGAUCUGGUGUGCCACGUCUACACCCAUACAACCGGACCUGCACCAGAUUCUGUGAGCGGUCGCGCCGACGUCAAGUCGUUGGAGCCCAGGAAGGUGGAGAUGACGCCGUUCUGGUCUACCUUGCGGAUGCACCUCCAAGGGGAAUCGCAAUUUCUACGGCUUGAAUUAAGACUUAAAAAAAAACUUUCAUGAGGUGAAUGCGUUCGGCUCGAGGAGUCCUUGGAAGAGUUCGCCGCCUCGUUUGACCGCGUGAGAGUCUCAAACUGAUGAGGAGUGUCACAUCUGAGCAGAGUUCAUCAAAAUGUCUGCAAGAAAGAUGGAGUGAGAGCGGAAAACACACACAGGGAAAAAAAAAAAAGCCAUCUGCUGUUUCUUCCGCGGUCUCGCCUUCUACCCACUCCAUCAUUACAGACUUUCUCGCCUGGGCUGAAAUGUUCGCAUCGAGUGCAGUUGGCGUCGGGAGCCGGCGGCGGCGAAAGCAAAAGCAGUCUUUUGGUUGGCGCUUUUCAUCUCGUGGUAUUUACAGAAAAGUGAACAAUUGCAGUGCAAAUGGCACAAGUGGACUGCCACAGCCAACAGGUUGUACUCAGCGAAAACUUUAUGGACAGUUUUUGCAACAACAAUAACAAAAAAAAAAAAAAAAUAAAUAAAAAAAACA